CCUUACGUAAACGUAUAUCAAAGUCCAGAAACAGGCCAAGUCAAAACCAAUCGGAAACAAGGUACGGAAUCGGUAAGAAGUAGAGUAGUCGAGGUCACAGGCCGGGUCAGUAACAGUCUUGGGCGAAGUACAAAAUCGGGAUCCAGAAAGCGUAGUCAGAGGAAAGCCAAAGGGUCAGGGCAGGCAGAGAUCAAUUACAGGAGU
Molecule: long non-coding RNA, 204 nt
Organism: Xenopus laevis (African clawed frog)
Lineage: Eukaryota; Metazoa; Chordata; Amphibia; Anura; Pipidae
Exons: 2
Source: RefSeq, a predicted model, not a curated record